ACCAGGUGUGGUGGUGCAUGCCUGUAAUCCCAGCGACUCAGGAGGCUGAGACAAGAGGAUCACGAGUUCAAAGUCAGCCUCAGCAAUGGUGAGGUGCAAAGCAACUUAGUGAGACCCUGUCUCUA
This 125-nucleotide small RNA is filed under the name Marmota monax (woodchuck). The record is from RNAcentral. Lineage: Eukaryota; Metazoa; Chordata; Mammalia; Rodentia; Sciuridae.